CCAAUAGCGUAUAUUAAAGUUGUUGCAGUUAAAAAGCUCGUAGUUGAAUUUCGGGAUCAAAUUGUCGGUCGUGCCUCGGUACGUACUGGUAUUAUUGGUUCCUACCUUCUGAAGAACCGCGAUGUCAGUAAUUUGGUGUCGUGGGGAAUCAGGACUGUUACUUUGAAAAAAUUAGAGUGUUUAAAGCAGGCUUACGCUUGAAUACAUUAGCAUGGAAUAAUGAAAUAGGACGUUUGAUUCUAUUUUGUUGGUUUCUAGGAUUGACGUAAUGAUUAAUAGGGAUAGUUGGGGGCAUUAGUAUUCAAUUGUCAGAGGUGAAAAUUCUUGGAUUUAUUGAAGACUAACUACUGCGAAAGCAUUUGCCAAGGAUGUUUUCAUUAAUCAAGAACGAAAGUUAGGGGAUCGAAGACGAUCAGAUACCGUCGUAGUCUUAACCAUAAACUAUGCCGACUAGGGAUCGGAUGAUGUUAAUUUUUUAAUGACUCAUUCGGCGCCUUACG
RNAcentral lists this ribosomal RNA (500 nucleotides) under uncultured Glomeromycotina. Its description in RNAcentral is "partial small subunit ribosomal RNA". It matches the Rfam family "Eukaryotic small subunit ribosomal RNA", at positions 591 to 1092 of the family's 1831-position model. Lineage: Eukaryota; Fungi; Glomeromycota. The record is from RNAcentral.